Molecule: ribosomal RNA, 484 nt
Filed under: uncultured bacterium
Lineage: Bacteria
Description: partial 16S ribosomal RNA
Rfam family: Bacterial small subunit ribosomal RNA
Source: RNAcentral
AUUGAACGCUGGCGGCAGGCCUAACACAUGCAAGUCGAGCGGAUGAAGGGAGCUUGCUCCUGGAUUCAGCGGCGGACGGGUGAGUAAUGCCUAGGAAUCUGCCUGGUAGUGGGGGAUAACGUCCGGAAAAGGGCGCUAAUACCGCAUACGUCCUGAGGGAGAAAGUGGGGGAUCUUCGGACCUCACGCUAUCAGAUGAGCCUAGGUCGGAUUAGCUGGUUGGUGGGGUGAAGACCUACCAAGGCGACGUCCCGUAACUGGUCUGAGAGGAUGAUCAGUCACACUGGAACUUGGACACGGUCCAGACUCCUACGGGAGGCAGCAGUGGGGAAUAUUGGACAAUGGUCGAAAGCCUGAUCCAGCCAUGCCGCGUGUGUGAAGAAGGUCUUCGGAUUGUAAAGCACUUUAAGUUGGGAGGAAGGGCAGUAAGUUAAUACCUUGCUGUUUUGACGUUACCAACAGAAUAAGCACCGGCUAACUUCGUG